AGGGUUUGAUCAUGGCUCAGAUUGAACGCUGGCGGCAUGCCUUACACAUGCAAGUCGAACGGCAGCACGGGAGCAAUCCUGGUGGCGAGUGGCGAACGGGUGAGUAAUAUAUCGGAACGUGCCCAGUCGUGGGGGAUAACGUAGAGAAAUUUACGCUAAUACCGCAUACGAUCUACGGAUGAAAGCGGGGGACUCGCAAGAGCCUCGCGCGACUGGAGCGGCUGAUAUCAGAUUAGGUUGUUGGUGAGGUAAAAGCUCACCAAGCCGACGAUCUGUAGCUGGUUUGAGAGAACGACCAGCCACACUGGGACUGAGACACGGCCCAGACUCCUACGGGAGGCAGCAGUGGGGAAUUUUGGACAAUGGGCGCAAGCCUGAUCCAGCAAUGCCGCGUGCAGGAAGAAGGCCUUCGGGUUGUAAACUGCUUUUGUACGGAACGAAAAGGUCCUUUCUAAUACAAGGGGCUAAUGACGGUACCGUAAGAAUAAGCACCGGCUAACUACGUGCCAGCAGCCGCGGUAAUACGUAGGGUGCGAGCGUUAAUCGGAAUUACUGGGCGUAAAGCGUGCGCAGGCGGUUAUGUAAGACAGUUGUGAAAUCCCCGGGCUCAACCUGGGA
Molecule: ribosomal RNA, 618 nt
Filed under: uncultured Polaromonas sp.
Lineage: Bacteria; Pseudomonadati; Pseudomonadota; Betaproteobacteria; Burkholderiales; Comamonadaceae
Description: bacterial SSU rRNA
Rfam family: Bacterial small subunit ribosomal RNA
Source: RNAcentral